RNAcentral lists this ribosomal RNA (253 nucleotides) under uncultured bacterium. RNAcentral's name for it is "partial 16S ribosomal RNA". It matches the Rfam family "Bacterial small subunit ribosomal RNA", at positions 524 to 776 of the family's 1533-position model. The record is from RNAcentral.
AACGUAGGAGACAAACGUUAUCCGGAGUUACUGGGCGUAAAGGGCGCGUAGGCGGCCUUCUAAGUCGAACGUGAAAUCCCCGGGCUCAACCCGGGAACUGCGUCCGAUACUGGAAGGCUUGAAUCCGGGAGAGGGAUGCGGAAUUCCAGGUGUAGCGGUGAAAUGCGUAGAUAUCUGGAGGAACACCGGUGGCGAAGGCGGCAUCCUGGACCGGCAUUGACGCUGAGGCGCGAAAGCCAGGGGAGCAAACGGG